Molecule: ribosomal RNA, 843 nt
Filed under: Triticum aestivum (bread wheat)
Lineage: Eukaryota; Viridiplantae; Streptophyta; Magnoliopsida; Poales; Poaceae
Description: partial small subunit ribosomal RNA
Source: RNAcentral
AUGAUACACGGAUAUUCCACGUUGGGCCGGUGGAAAGAAACGGGCAAAAUGUUCAGAGAAAUGACAAGCCGGGGUAUCAUACCAGAUGUUGUUAGUUGGACCUCAUUCAUGACCUCCCUCUGCAAGCAUGGAAGAAGCAGAGAAGCUACUGGAAUUAUUGAUUACAUGUCUGCCAAGGGCCACAAGCCUAAUAUUGUCUCGUACUCUAUUCUGUUUCAUGGAUAUGCUACAGAAGGAUGCUUUGAUGAUAUGAUUAAUCUCCUUGACUCAAUGGCAACCAACGGUAUUGUUCCCAAUCGCCAGAUUUUCAGCAUUUUAGUUGAUGCGUAUGCUAAACGUGGAAUGAUGGAUGAAGCUAUGCUCAUAUUUACUGGAAUGUGGGAACAAGGAGUGAUCCCAGAUGUAUCCAGAUGGGGACAAGGAGUGAGUCCAGAGUCUACAAUUUUUAGGCUGGCUGAUGCUUUGAACAAGUUCAGUCAGAUGAUUUCUAUUGAUAUAAAACCGGACACAGUUGUUUAUCACUCCCUAAUUCAGGGUUUCUGCACACAUGGCGAUUUGGUGAAAGCAAAGGAGUUGGUUUAUGAAAUGAUAAACAAAUACAUUCCACCUCCUACCGUUGUGUUCUUCAGUUCAAUAAUAAAUAGUCUAUGCAAAGAAGGAAGGGUUACAGAUGCACAAGAUAUCUUCAACUUGGUUGUUGAAAUAGGUGAGAGUCCUGAUGUCUUUGCUUUUACUUCACUACUUGACAGAUAUUGCCUAGUCGGCAAAAUGGAGAAAGCAUCACAAGUUUUGAUGCAAUGGUAUCAGCUGGCAUUGAGCCUAAUGCAUCCACCUAAAGCGUAA